UCUAAAUCGAGUUAUUGGAGCAUAGAUAUAUAGGACUAAUAUCAAACCCAGAAAAUUGAAUAUCUGUAUCGAUUCUACAACCCUUGAUCUCAGGCGAAGAGAGUCGAAUCGAACAAGACUGUUGCUGAGUUACGCAAUCUGCCACUGGAAUAGGUGGUUGGGUUUGAAUCUAUGGCGUUCAACUGUUGCUGUGAUUGGUCGUCUAAGUUGCCCGAUGAGUUGACGGUGGAGAUACUAUGUAGAUUGCCAGAAAAGCCUCUGAUUCAAUUCAAGUCCGUGUCGAAAGCUUGGUACUUAUUGAUUUCUGAUGUUUGCGUUCCCAGAAUCUCUUCAUCCGCACCUCUCUCCGGAUUUCUCUUCAGGUUGAUUCCCCUUCUUCCAUUCUCCGAUUUCCUUAUGGAAUAUGUUCCAUCAGAUUGUCCGAGAACCCUGCUGGACAGAGGACGAUUUGUGGAGUCGUAUUCGAAGCUAUUACCCUUUCAACCUACUGCCAGGGAUGUUCUCGACUGCUGCAACGGUUUGCUCUUAAUUCUUCACCGCAGCUCUGUUCCUCCCUCUGUUCCUUCACAGUAUUAUGUGUGUAACCCUGCCACAAAACAAUGUGUGGCUAUUCCCGUGAACCCUAAUCAUCUAGAUCCAAUAUAUGCUGUACUUGCUUUUAAUCCUGUUGAGUCCCCACCGAAUAAUACUAAUAAUAAUAAUUAUAAAAUAGUUCGGUUAGCUAGCUCUACCAGCACUGCCUCUGUAACUCAUCCGCCGGAGCUGGAUGUUUUCUCCUCCGUUACUGGCAAGUGGGUCAACCAUCCGGUUCCACUCCAGCCUGAACCUGAGCUUUAUGGUUUCAAGUGGCUUUUCAAGUCUGUUUAUUUGGAUGGGGUGUUGUACAUGUUAUCUUACAGUAGAUACCUCUUGUGUUUUGAUCUCAAUGCCGAUAAUUUGAAUCCCCGAGCUGUGAAGCUCCCGAACAAGGGCAAGGCUCUUGGUGUUGGAUUCAUUGGGAUGUCCAAAGAUUGCUUCUAUUACUCUAAUCAUGUUGAAAAUGCAGUCCUUGUUUGGUCACUUGACCAUGACCAUAAGUGGAUUUUGAAGCAUAGCAUCUGCAUUGAUGACUUGGUUCGGUUUCAUCACGGCAGAAUUUUAGACCGCUAUCGCCUUUCUCCACUGCUCGUGCCUUGUGCUUUACAUCCAACUUCAGAAGUUAUCUUCAUUGCUAUUCCCAGAUUGAUAUUCAGCUAUAAUCUGAAAACCAAUCAGUUCAAUGUAUUUUACAUACUGCAAGAAAACAGGAAUUUGAUUGAUGAUGGAUGUUUCUUCUUUCCUUACUCACGCUGCCUGGUUGUUUUGAAUGAUUUUACGCAGGAUAUUAGCAUUUUCUAAUAACACUUUUAAAGGCUGGAAGGUUCUAACAUGACUUGAAUUUGGGAGGUUAGUUUUCUUGAAUGCUUCUUUCUUUUGUAUUUGUAGACCUGAAGUGGUGUAGCUGGUUUUGAAUGCCAGGGAGGAGAGAAAAGGGGUUUGGGCGAGAUUAUUUACCUACUUCAGUAUCAUUAUGGGCCUUUCUUUAAGAUUUUACUUGUCUAUUUCUUUGAUCUUCCCUGUUCUUGAUUGGUUUUGGAUGAUGUCUUGGCCUCUAUAUUUCAUUUUUUGUUUCCAGUGGAGUGCAUUCUUGUUCGAAAAGGGUGACCUAAGGAAUAAAACACAACAAAACAUCAACUUUGGUAAAUUGCGUUACCAAUCCUUCAUUGCUGCUGAUAUAUGUGGUUUACUUGAAAAUUUAUAUAUACGUUUCCUUCCUUUGAUAGAUAUAGAGAAUGUUCCGCUUGAUGGAGAGGAGCAGUAGAAAAAUCAUCAUUAUGGAGGAAAAAUAAUAAAUGAAUAGUUGAGGUAAUUUGAACUGAGUAAUCUAGAAUGUUGCAAGAAGAGGCAUACCUCCCGUCAAAAGUGUAGAAGAGAAAGGCAGUUAUUAUAAAAAGAAUAAAAGAAAGAAUAGAAAUGGGUCUUAGGACCGUGUUUGGUGUGAGAGAGCUAAUGGAUGUGCUAUAAGAUCUACGAAUUUAUUGUAGGUGAGGUGUAAAUUUAAUUUACUUGUGUGGCAUAUUACAAUUGCAUCCGUGAAGAAUUGAGAAAGCGCAGUAACUAAUGUUUUAUGAGGAAUUUUAGUGAGGUAAGUGAUAAUGUCAUAGGAAUUUAGUUACUUCCAAGAUAUAUGUUGAAACUAUGAACUGUAGGAAAAGCAUUUGUGAGAAAGUAGCUUUGUAAGAAAGCCAAUACCUUGCGGUGUAUAUAAGUGGUUGUGCUCUGCAAUUGUGAAGCGGGAUAUUGUAAAACAAUACAAAUUCCUCAAUUGUUAAUAAACCUUGACGUUGAGUGAUUGCGUGAUAUUUGCGGUCACCAAUCUAUCUCUAGCCUCCAAGCUACAGGACCUAGAGUCACACUAAGUGUGCCAGAGACUUUGGUGUGCCUAAGUUUCACAGGGCAACUCUUUUUCACAAGGCCAGUUCCCUGUGAGGUGCUUGUACUCCACCAAGUCCAAGUCCACCUAAACCUUUCGACCAUCUGACUGUUGAAUGUUCACCUGUCUUGGCAACUGUAGGCCAUGCCUUAUUUGGCAAGAGCUACUCCCUUGAAAUUGCAUAUCAUAUAGGUGAUUGUUAUGGAAGUUUACAAUCUUCAUUCAUGCUUUGAUUGUUGUUAUUUUUCGUUUAAAUGAUAAAAUGAUUCUAGCAUUUUUAUCUGUUGCAUCUUCAAUGCUGCAAUGAGAGACGUACACUUGAAAGUGCCCUGAAUUUAAUGUUUUGGCAGGUAAAAAUAGAUUGCUAAAUAUCAGAAGUUCUUGUGUAUUUAUGACUUAUUUGAAAAAACAUUGGACUACAAAUUGGUGAAUAGUGGCUACAUUCGAUCUACUAGAUGAAUGAUAUCCCAAGGAACAAGGGUUUAGAGGUUGGGGUUACCAUCUAAUGGUCCUGAUCAAAUCCCCAUUCAUACUGGAUUUGCCAAACUAGUUUCAUGGUGGUGCUACUUGGAUGUAAUUGUAUAAAUUAUCUGGCAGGCUCCAAUAUUUACAUGAGCGCUCAAAUGUACGAUUUUGUCCUUGGUGUUAUUUAACAUUAUAUAUUUUGACCUUUAUUUUAAUUCCUGCUUUUUUCUUUUAAGGAGAAUAUUAUCAUAUCUCUCAUUAGAGGCGUAGAACAUUCAAUUGCCUUCCCUGGGAUUCAGUA
Molecule: non-coding RNA, 3218 nt
Organism: Camellia sinensis
Lineage: Eukaryota; Viridiplantae; Streptophyta; Magnoliopsida; Ericales; Theaceae
Source: RefSeq, a predicted model, not a curated record